AUUAGCGCCCACGUUACAGGUGUUCUUGGCUUUGUCCAUUUGCUAAGAAUGAAACGGGAAGUUGGUGAAGGCUGUUUGUUAAAGCAGUGAAUAAGUCCAACGCUGCCCCCGCAACGGUAAUUGAGUAACAGGACUAGCUCUCGCCACUGUGUAAUUAAUACAUGGGAAGGCGCUAGUUCUACUGACAGUGAUCAGAUGCUCAUAAGCCCGGAGACCGGCCUGAGAACUUAAUUUAAG
Molecule: non-coding RNA, 237 nt
Filed under: Oleiphilus sp. HI0043
Lineage: Bacteria; Pseudomonadati; Pseudomonadota; Gammaproteobacteria; Oceanospirillales; Oleiphilaceae
Also listed under: 1 other name
Source: RNAcentral